UGACCUCAAAUCAGGUAGGACUACCCGCUGAACUUAAGCAUAUCAAUAAGCGGAGGAAAAGAAACUAACAAGGAUUCCCCUAGUAACUGCGAGUGAAGCGGGAAAAGCUCAAAUUUAAAAUCUGGCAGUCUUUGGCUGUCCGAGUUGUAAUCUAGAGAAGUAUUAUCCGCGCUGGACCGUGUACAAGUCUCCUGGAAUGGAGCGUCAUAGAGGGUGAGAAUCCCGUCUUUGACACGGACUGCCAGGGCUUUGUGAUGUGCUCUCAAAGAGUCGAGUUGUUUGGGAAUGCAGCUCAAAAUGGGUGGUAAAUUCCAUCUAAAGCUAAAUAUUGGCGAGAGACCGAUAGCGAACAAGUACCGUGAGGGAAAGAUGAAAAGAACUUUGGAAAGAGAGUUAAACAGUACGUGAAAUUGCUGAAAGGGAAACGCUUGAAGUCAGUCGCGUUGUCCAGGGAUCAACUCUUGCUUUUGCUUGGUGUAUUUUCUGGUUAACGGGUCAGCAUCAAUUUUGACUAUUGGAAAAAGAUCAAGGGAAUGUAGCAUCUUUUGGAUGUGUUAUAGCCUUUGGUUGCAUACAGUAGUUGGGAUUGAGGAACUCAGCACGCCGCAAGGCCGAGUUUUUAACUACGUACGUGCUUAGGAUGC
Molecule: ribosomal RNA, 644 nt
Filed under: Calonarius aureofulvus
Lineage: Eukaryota; Fungi; Basidiomycota; Agaricomycetes; Agaricales; Cortinariaceae
Description: eukaryotic LSU rRNA
Rfam family: Eukaryotic large subunit ribosomal RNA
Source: RNAcentral